AUCUAGCCGUCGAGUUCCAAAUAUGACGAAACGCGUGUCCUGGAU
Schistosoma curassoni is the source of this 45-nucleotide non-coding RNA. Lineage: Eukaryota; Metazoa; Platyhelminthes; Trematoda; Strigeidida; Schistosomatidae. The record is from Rfam.